UGAACGCUAGCGGCAGGCUCAACACAUGCAAGUCAGGGGUNUAGUCUUCGGAAUUAGAGACCGGGCGACACGGGUGCGUAACGCGUAUGCAAUCUACCUUUCACAGAGGGAUAGCCCAGAGAAAUUUGGAUUAAUACCUCAUAGUGUUAUUAGAUGGCAUCAUUUGAUACUAAAGUUCCAACGGUAAAAGAUGAGUAUGCGUCCUAUUAGCUAGAUGGUAAGGUAACGGCUUACCAUGGCUACGAUAGGUAGGGGUCCUGAGAGGGAGAUCCCCCCACACUGGUACUGAGACACGGACCAGACUCCUACGGGAGGCAGCAGUGAGGAAUAUUGGACAAUGGGCGCAAGCCUGAUCCGAGCCAUGCCGCGUGCAGGAAGAAGCAUCUAUGGUGUGUAAACUGCUUUUGUACGGGAAGAAACACUCCUACGUGUAGGAGCUUGACGGUACCGUAAGAAUAAGGAUCGGCUAACUCCGUG
RNAcentral lists this ribosomal RNA (477 nucleotides) under uncultured bacterium. Its description in RNAcentral is "bacterial SSU rRNA". It matches the Rfam family "Bacterial small subunit ribosomal RNA", at positions 30 to 507 of the family's 1533-position model. The record is from RNAcentral.